UGGGGGAUAUUGCGCAAUGGGCGAAAGCCUGACGCAGCGACGCCGCGUGGGUGAUGAAGGCCUUCGGGUCGUAAAGCCCUGUCGAGGGGGACGAAACGGCUCCGACCUAACACGUCGGGGCUCUGACUGUACCCCUAAAGGAAGCACCGGCUAACUCUGUGCCAGCAGCCGCGGUAAGACAGAGGCCACGAACGUUGUUCGGAAUCACUGGGCAUAAAGCGCACGUAGGCGGCUAGGUCCGUCCGAUGUGAAAGCCCCCGGCUCAACCGGGGAAUUGCAUCGGAUACAGCCUGGCUUGAGGACGGUUGGGGUGAGUGGAACUCCUGGUGGAGCGGUGAAAUGCGUAGAUAUCAGGAGGAACACCGGUGGCGAAAGCGGCUCACUGGACCGUUACUGACGCUGAGGUGCGAAAGCUAGGGGAGCAAA
This 426-nucleotide ribosomal RNA is filed under the name uncultured bacterium. Its description in RNAcentral is "bacterial SSU rRNA". It matches the Rfam family "Bacterial small subunit ribosomal RNA", at positions 355 to 772 of the family's 1533-position model. The record is from RNAcentral.